This 3195-nucleotide unclassified non-coding RNA is filed under the name Cimex lectularius (bed bug). Its description in RNAcentral is "sterile alpha and TIR motif-containing protein 1, transcript variant X4". The record is from RNAcentral. Lineage: Eukaryota; Metazoa; Arthropoda; Insecta; Hemiptera; Cimicidae.
CAAAAUAGAAAAAAUACAGUACAAGAUAACCGCGGGAUGUCAGUUCGCGACGAGGAAAGAUGGGAUUAUUAACGGCUCAGAGCUGAGCGGAUCGUGAUUGAGGUGGGGCUUAGCUGCAUCUUUCUGAUACCCGGCCCGACGAGGAUCGCCCUCGAUCUCGAUGUGGGAGGGAACCAGGCGCCGGUUCCGGCCGGUGCCCGAGCAGCAGAGGAUGCAGACGCCGAUGCCGAUGGACCGGUCGCGGGUCGACGGCUUCACAAAAAGACGACACAUUCCCUCGUUCCCGCUGGAAAGCAAUGAGAAUGGAGAGGGCGGCGAGUCGAAAAACGGAUCCCCCGUGAAAGAUUUGGCUCAGAUCUCCGGGGCCCAGACGCAGCAAUUGCUGUCGCAGCAGAUCUCAACCAGUUCGACGACGACGACAAGUUCGAGUUCGCGCGUGGCCAAAUCAUCGCAGAAGAUUAUGAGCGCUUCGACGCUCAAGGCGAACCUUUCCGAGCUGAAGUCGAGCAUCUCGGAGAUGAAGAGCCUCAGCAGCUUCAACUCGAUGAAGAGCUCCGUCGAAGACUUGGUCGAGGAGUGCGAGUCGGACGUGUGCACAAGCCCGUGCGACGGCGAGCCCCUCGUCACAUUCCCGGACCAGGAAUCGCCCCCGGAGUCCGUACGGGCCAUGUCACCCGAGGCCAUGUGCCUCGGCCAGAAAAGAAACAAAAAAGUGCUUUCGGAAAGGUCAGUCGCCAAUUCUUUCGGGCUUAAGAGGAUGCAGUCCGGCGAGGUAACCUUCCAGGAGACACAGGCGCAGCAAAAAGUCUUGGCCAAACUCGAAAUGGACGGCGUCACCGCCGAGAAAUCAGUCAACAAACUUCAGGAACAGCGAUCGAUCAAAUCCGGAGAAGUCACCCAGCGUGAGUCCCAGAGCAGGAGCGCAGCCACGCUGAGACUUCAGAGUGGCACUUUCACAACAGAAAAGAAUAUGAUGGCUGCUCAACAGCAAAGCCAAACGAUAACUUCGACUGGUUUGGUAAACCAGGAAAAGCAUACGAGCCAUCAAAAUUACAUAUUUACCAAAGGGAUGAGCUCCAAAACUUCAGUGAUAUCUUCACAAAUGGUGAACAGUAGUCACCUUUUAAACGGUCAGAGCAAUUUGAAGAUGAUAGAAGAAGACCCUUUUCCUAUUUGCUUGGACGAGCUGGAGAAGCUGAGUUCCAAUUCGACGACGCAAGAAGUCGAAAACGCCAAAGCCAAAUACAGCGACCAGUUGUACGCGGCUGUGAAAACUGUUAAAAGCCUGAAAGGGGAAAACUGCAAAAAGAUCCCACUCGUGCUGAACAGGAUCAACGAGAUGAUCAGAAAGGCCUGGGAGGUGCCGACUCACGGGCACGACAUCGGUUCCACCCUCUGUAACUCGCUGCGGGCCAGCGGCGGCCUCGACUUCCUCCUCACCAACAACACAGACGACGAACAACAGUUCGCGAGUGCCAAACUGCUCGAGCAGUGCCUCACCUCGGAAAACAGGGACUAUGUCGUGUCCAACGGUCUCGAGAUGGUCGUCACCUCCGCCUGCGUCUGCACCAAAAAUUCCAAUUCCAUCGAACAUUCCCGGGUGGGGACCGGCAUCCUAGAACACCUUUUCAAGCACAGCGAAGGAACGUGCAGCGACGUUAUCAGACUCGGCGGUCUUGACUCGGUCCUCUUCGAAUGCAGGAAAAACGACGUCGAAACCCUCAGGCACUGCGCUGGUGCUCUGGCCAAUCUGUCUUUAUACGGUGGAGCAGAAAACCACGAGGCCAUGAUCAAGCGCAAGGUCCCGAUGUGGCUUUUCCCUCUCGCCUUCCACACAGACGACAACAUCAAAUAUUACGCGUGUUUAGCGAUAGUUGCCCUCGUCGCCAAUAAAGAAAUCGAAGCUGCCGUCCUCAAGUCGGGCACUUUAGACCUCGUAGAACCCUUCAUCACAACUCACAAUCCUUCGGAAUUCGCCAAAUCGAAUCAGGCUCACGCCCACGGACAGAGCAAGCACUGGCUCCAGCGGUUGGUGCCUGUGCUCAGCUCAAAGAGAGAAGAGGCGAGGAACCUGGCUGCCUUCCACUUUUGUAUGGAAGCGUGGAUUAAGAAACAACAAGGGAACACGGAACUCUUCAAGAACAUCGGUGCGAUCGAACCGCUGAAGAAGGUUGCCAGUUGCCCCAAUGCCAUCGCGUCCAAGUUCGCCGCACAAGCGCUCAGGCUCAUAGGAGAAGAGAUACCCCAUAAACUAAGCCAGCAAGUCCCUCUCUGGAGCACGGAAGACGUACGGGAAUGGGUCAAACAGAUAGGAUUUGCGGAGUACGCGUUAAACUUCACAGACAGUCGGGUCGACGGUGACCUUCUCCUCCAACUCACGGAAGACAAUCUCAUGUCAGACAUCGGAAUCACAAAUGGAAUCAGAAGAAAAAGGUUCACACGCGAGCUGCAGACUCUGAAGAAAAUGGCCGACUACAGCAGUCGGGAUUCUUCCAACCUCAACUCGUUCCUCCAGUCCAUUGGGCCAGAAUUUUCCGUCUAUACAUAUGCCAUGCUUAACGCUGGCGUUGACAAAGAGACUUUAAGGAGUUUGUCAGAAGAACAGCUAGUCAGUGAAUGUGGCAUAACUAACAGUAUUCACAGAUACCGAAUGCUUGAUUUGAUACGAGUUUACUUAAGGUCCAUCUCCAACUCAGGGGCUUCUCGGUUUUCAUCGACGUCGAGAGGCUUGAAGCAGGAAAAUUUGACAACAACUUGCUCCACAGCAUUCGCCAAGCGAAACAUUUUAUCUUAGUUUUAACCUCCAGUGCGCUAGAUAGGUGCAUAGCGGAUGACGACUGCAAAGACUGGGUGCAUCGGGAAAUCGUAGCAGCACUACAAGCACAAUGCAACAUAAUCCCAAUUAUGGAUAAUUUCUCCUGGCCUGAUCCUGAAAAGCUCCCUGACGAUAUGAGAGCUGUCUGUCAUUUCAAUGGUGUAAUGUGGAUCCACGACUACCAGGACGCUUGUGUGGACAAGCUCGAAAGGUUUAUGAGGGGCGACCCGAUUUCAAGGUCGAUCACAGGGACGAGUCGGACAGGCGACAUGACACCAGGCACACCAUCCAUCAGUCACAAGCCGCCCUUCAACCGCAACCACUCAAACAUGAGUGCGGACGGUUCCGAGGGGAGUCGGGAAUGACUAGAAGGGCACGCC